This 1332-nucleotide ribosomal RNA is filed under the name Vibrio sp. ST004.01. RNAcentral describes it as "16S ribosomal RNA". It matches the Rfam family "Bacterial small subunit ribosomal RNA", at positions 90 to 1418 of the family's 1533-position model. Lineage: Bacteria; Pseudomonadati; Pseudomonadota; Gammaproteobacteria; Vibrionales; Vibrionaceae. The record is from RNAcentral. RNAcentral also lists the same sequence under 1 other name.
GUCGAGCGGCGGACGGGUGAGUAAUGCCUAGGAAAUUGCCCUGAUGUGGGGGAUAACCAUUGGAAACGAUGGCUAAUACCGCAUGAUGCCUACGGGCCAAAGAGGGGGACCUUCGGGCCUCUCGCGUCAGGAUAUGCCUAGGUGGGAUUAGCUAGUUGGUGAGGUAAGGGCUCACCAAGGCGACGAUCCCUAGCUGGUCUGAGAGGAUGAUCAGCCACACUGGAACUGAGACACGGUCCAGACUCCUACGGGAGGCAGCAGUGGGGAAUAUUGCACAAUGGGCGCAAGCCUGAUGCAGCCAUGCCGCGUGUGUGAAGAAGGCCUUCGGGUUGUAAAGCACUUUCAGUCGUGAGGAAGGUAGUGUAGUUAAUAGCUGCAUUAUUUGACGUUAGCGACAGAAGAAGCACCGGCUAACUCCGUGCCAGCAGCCGCGGUAAUACGGAGGGUGCGAGCGUUAAUCGGAAUUACUGGGCGUAAAGCGCAUGCAGGUGGUUUGUUAAGUCAGAUGUGAAAGCCCGGGGCUCAACCUCGGAAUUGCAUUUGAAACUGGCAGACUAGAGUACUGUAGAGGGGGGUAGAAUUUCAGGUGUAGCGGUGAAAUGCGUAGAGAUCUGAAGGAAUACCGGUGGCGAAGGCGGCCCCCUGGACAGAUACUGACACUCAGAUGCGAAAGCGUGGGGAGCAAACAGGAUUAGAUACCCUGGUAGUCCACGCCGUAAACGAUGUCUACUUGGAGGUUGUGGCCUUGAGCCGUGGCUUUCGGAGCUAACGCGUUAAGUAGACCGCCUGGGGAGUACGGUCGCAAGAUUAAAACUCAAAUGAAUUGACGGGGGCCCGCACAAGCGGUGGAGCAUGUGGUUUAAUUCGAUGCAACGCGAAGAACCUUACCUACUCUUGACAUCCAGAGAACUUUCCAGAGAUGGAUUGGUGCCUUCGGGAACUCUGAGACAGGUGCUGCAUGGCUGUCGUCAGCUCGUGUUGUGAAAUGUUGGGUUAAGUCCCGCAACGAGCGCAACCCUUAUCCUUGUUUGCCAGCGAGUAAUGUCGGGAACUCCAGGGAGACUGCCGGUGAUAAACCGGAGGAAGGUGGGGACGACGUCAAGUCAUCAUGGCCCUUACGAGUAGGGCUACACACGUGCUACAAUGGCGCAUACAGAGGGCGGCCAACUUGCGAAAGUGAGCGAAUCCCAAAAAGUGCGUCGUAGUCCGGAUUGGAGUCUGCAACUCGACUCCAUGAAGUCGGAAUCGCUAGUAAUCGUGGAUCAGAAUGCCACGGUGAAUACGUUCCCGGGCCUUGUACACACCGCCCGUCACACCAUGGGAGUGGGCUGC